GGCUGGUUAGCUCAGUUGGUUAGACUGUGGUGCUGAUAACACCAAGGUCAUGGGUUUGAUCCCCGUUCGGUCC
This 73-nucleotide transfer RNA is filed under the name Apaloderma vittatum (bar-tailed trogon). It matches the Rfam family "tRNA". Rfam says of the family: Transfer RNA (tRNA) molecules are approximately 80 nucleotides in length. Their secondary structure includes four short double-helical elements and three loops (D, anti-codon, and T loops). The record is from Rfam by way of RNAcentral. Lineage: Eukaryota; Metazoa; Chordata; Aves; Trogoniformes; Trogonidae.